Dermochelys coriacea (leatherback sea turtle) is the source of this 1465-nucleotide long non-coding RNA. RefSeq lists it as uncharacterized. The record is from RefSeq and is a predicted model, not a curated record. NCBI's taxonomy places the organism in Eukaryota, Metazoa, Chordata, Testudines, Dermochelyidae. The transcript has 5 exons.
UGGUGCCUAGGAACCGCAGCUCUGGAGCAAGGCCCCAAUAUGCUAGCUGGAAGUGGUGAGGCUUUUGUAACAGAGACUGAGCCCAUCCUUUCAGAAGCAUAUACCAAAUCUGCCCAGGAGCCACCUAACAGACUGUGCUGUCUAAUGGCUAGAGCAGAGAACAAGGAGCCAGGACCCUUGGCAUUGACUCACUUCGUGACCUUGAGUAUGUGGUACUUCCUGAAACAACUGUAACUCUGAUUGGCUGCUCUUGUAUGACAUCAGAGCCUACAAAAGCACAUACCUCAAAAGACGUCACUGCAGGGCCAUUCAACAGGAGGAUGGGAAUGCCAUCAUCUCUACUUCCUUCCAACACCAUUAUGGUAUCUGCCUCCCAGCAGGCCCCUGGUGAGGUGCUGCCUCAGUUACUCAUACUCCAAGAUUUAUGCCACAAAGACUUUCAAAGGCAGAUUGUCUAGAGAAGAACAGAUGGAGGGAACAGCCCUCCUGCCCAGGGUUUGCACCAGAACUACAGACAGGGAGCUUGUUAUCUGACUUUGGGAUUUAUAAGAGCAAAUCUGUGCUACGCUCUGCGGGGGAAGGGCUGGGCCACUGGCUGGCUCAGGUGGUGGGUGUAUUUCACGCCAAUGUCCCUGGCGCUGUUCCAGACUGUGGACAAAAGUCAUUCCCUUGGAGCUGUUCAGUGGUCCAUGUGUGAAAUGAACUGAUGGCUGCAAUCUGGUUCCUAGUGGCCAGGUCCACAACAGAGGGGUCACUAUCUCCAUGGGCACGAAUUGUCCCCCUUGUUGGAGGCCUGAGAAGAGAGACCAAAGAUUGACUGGGCCACGGAGACCAAAUUCCCCUCUUGGCCCCAGAGGCAAGGCACAUUGUUGUAGUGAUGGGGAGCUGCUUGUGCUGCCAGGCUGUACCUACUCUGUGAUAAACAGAUCAGCUGAGUCUCCAGGGCUGUCAAUCUGGCACCCUUAACCUUUCACCAGCACAAAAUUCUCUGUAAAAUGGAAAAAGUGAUUUCUUGAAAGCAAACUAAUCCCCAGUCAUAUCAACGAGUCACUUAGCUCCCAAUCUCUCACUCUCUGCGUUCUGCAUCUCAGGGAACAUUCAAAGGAAAACAAUGUGACUGUUAAUUACAAACUGUUUUGAAUGCAUGGAAAAACCAUUUCAAAGAUGAAGCCAGACGAAGAUAGGGAGCCUGAGAAUACUGCAUGUGCCUAAACGCUUUAAAGGGUGGAAAGUUCUAUUGUAAUUAAGGCUGAUGCAAUCACUGUAACAGAUGCAAGGUAGAAAUGUUCCCUUGUUUGGCUUUCCCCCUCUCUCUGCUGUGCACAUUGGGUUUUGCUUUGGACUAGAUGCAAAAUGCCGGAAUAUCAAGGGGAUGUUUUUCACUUGAAGAAUUUUAAUGAAUAAAUGCUGUUCCGAUCCGUUACUUGUCUGCACUCUGAUUGCAACGGCAUUCUAGGGAGCAUGG